GAUGAAGAACGCAGCGAAAUGCGAUAAGUAGUGUGAAUUGCAGAAUUCAGUGAAUCAUCGAAUCUUUGAACGCAUCUUGCGCUCCUUGGUAUUCUGAGGAGCAUGCCUGUUUGAGUGUCAUUAAAUUCUCAACUACACUGACUUUGAAUUGGUGUGGCUUGGAUUUGGGGGGAAAAUUGUUGUAGGCUUUUUGUAUAGUCUGCUCCCCUGAAAUUGAUUAGCGGUACCUUUGUGGAACUGUCUACAGGUGUGAUAAUUAUCUACAUCUUAGACAUCUGCUGGAAUGCUGCUUUCUAAACCUUACUUGUAUUGACAAUCUUGACCUCAAAUCAGGUAGGACUACCCGCUGAACUUAAGCAUAUCAAUAAGCGGAGGA
This 376-nucleotide unclassified non-coding RNA is filed under the name soil metagenome. RNAcentral describes it as "partial contains 5.8S ribosomal RNA, internal transcribed spacer 2, and large subunit ribosomal RNA". The stretch from base 1 to 120 matches the Rfam family "5.8S ribosomal RNA", at positions 35 to 154 of the family's 154-position model. The record is from RNAcentral.